Molecule: long non-coding RNA, 593 nt
Organism: Sceloporus undulatus (fence lizard)
Lineage: Eukaryota; Metazoa; Chordata; Lepidosauria; Squamata; Phrynosomatidae
Exons: 2
Source: RefSeq, a predicted model, not a curated record
CAUCUCCCCACAACUCUCUCCACCCCCUUCUCACUGCACUUAAACUCCAUACCAGCCAUUAUCACAUUUCCUCUUUUGGAGUUGACUCAUCCCCAUCCCUGAAUACCAGAAGGAAAACUAAAAAUGGAAGCAACCUUGAUGGGCACACUUAGUUGCAGCCAGGCAGCCGGAUACGCUGCCAACUUGGGUUAAAAGCUGUUGCCUGGAUCUUGCCUCUUAGCUUUCAUUUUCUUCUUCUUUCUCUUUAGCCUAAACAUCUGUCCCUCAGCCUGGAGGAAGAUUCCAAACCUUGCAGUGCUGAAAUCCCAACAGCUGGAUAAGGAGUGCCAACGGGCAGGAACUUAUCGCUGUAAUGAGCAAUCUGCCCGACUGGAAUCUAGCAGAUAAGGGAAACCAAAGGAAUGCUGCCUCUUCUAUCCUUCAGCCCCAGGCAGGACCUGUAUGGGAGGAGCAGAUCUUAUGGAGGCAGAAUAGACUCCCUCUGGACCAGUGAUGAACAUGUGAUGAAUCAGGUGCUGACAUCCAAACUGAGAUCCUAUCCCUCCUAAUUUAUUUGCCUUGUUUUUUUUGGGGGGGGAGUAUGCCAAAUCAUU